Molecule: small nuclear RNA, 196 nt
Organism: Arachis stenosperma
Lineage: Eukaryota; Viridiplantae; Streptophyta; Magnoliopsida; Fabales; Fabaceae
Product: U2 spliceosomal RNA
Exons: 1
Source: RefSeq, a predicted model, not a curated record
AUACCUUUCUCGGCCUUUUGGCUAAGAUCAAGUGUAGUAUCUGUUCUUAUCAGUUUAAUAUCUGAUAUGUGGGCCAUUGGCCCACACGAUAUUAAAUUUAUUUUUUGAGGGGGAUGGGCCACUAUAGUAGCUUGCUACUGGGCUCAUCGAGCGUCGCCUAGGCCUUACACUAUUGCCUGGGCCUGGCGCACCCCAC